UUGUUUUUAGGCAUUAUCAAACUUCCCCACACUUAUCAUGUGCUCAUCAUUAAGCACGACACAGUACACUCUACAAAUCUACAUUUUUUCACCUUAAAGUCACUUACUCCUAAUCAUUUCAACAUAACCAUAUGUUACAUCUCAACCCUCACAUUGCUAAAAUAACCAUUAGUUAGUAAUUUGUGAACUUCAGUUUCAUGGACCCACACCCAAAAAUAAUCAUUUUGACAACAUCCAAACAUGAUAUGGGAGACUUUUGUAAAUUUUCCUUAUAAAAAUAAGUUAAGAGGAACAACCAACACAUAGUAGAACAAGUAUCGAACUUGUCUAGAUAUAGAGGUUUCAUGCAAAUUGGUCCAUGCAGACAAUAGAAAGCUUAUAUGUAACUUACUUGAGCACUUACUGCUUGCUUGAAAUGUCACCAACCUUUUGACACUAGUGCAAACUAUUGUGAUGAAUGGCCUCGGUUAUUCAGUCAAUCACAGUUUCAAGUGGUUACUAAUGCUACUCAUAGUGCUUUAAGAUGUCACUAGCCUUUUUAUGUGAGUAAAAACAAUUGUGAUGAAUGACCCCAGUUACUCAAUUAAUGCAUAUUUCAAGUAACUAGAGGAGUAGAUUAUUAUGCAUGCUCUCUAUCUCUCUUUUUUUCACAUGAACCCCAUAAUUUUAAACAUGUAAAUCCAUAUAGAUUAUAGUAGAGUUCUUUCCAUUCACUCAAAGAUAAGAACAAUUCAAUUUUGAACAAGCAAUACUCAAGCGUAUCAUGUUUGAAAUGCAUAACCAAAGGUAACUAUUCUAGGUGUGGGAAGAUGAAAAAUAAUUACAGUUCCUAGAUGAUGGUCAUAACUGCAAUUCGAAUUUGGAGUUGCCCCAUUUGAGUCGUUUAAAGACAAUAUGGAGUCAAGAAUUGCCCAGCAUGGGAUUCUGAGUUUAAAAAAAAUUGCCUAUGAUGUAAAAUGUAGAGUGCAGAAUGUCUCUUCCCUCCGCACAUAAAUCACACAUUGUCCCUAGUAUGAUGUAAAGAAUGGAAAAGAAAAUGAAGGGACAAAGUAUUCCCUCGACUUCGUUGAUUGGAUGUGGUGUAUAUGGAGAAAUAGUAUUUGUUUGAAGAUAUUCUACAUUUUGGGUGGCUGCAACGUGGCAUAAGCCUUGGGCAAUGCUUGUGCAAACACUUCAAAGUUUAAAAUGAGUUAAUCGAUCGACAAUCUCUCUAUUUGUGAGCUGAGAGACAAAAGUUAAUGCAGUAAAAGUAAAAUAAAACAACAAAAAUUAUAAAUAAAGUAGGAAACAAAUGUAAAAUGAAAGGAAGGGGGUAGGAAAAUCCCCUGAUGGUCAUCGUUUGCACUGGCGGGUGGUUGACUGCAAGUUUUGAGUCAGCAUUUGCAUCAAGGUUUCUAUUUUCUCAUUCAAUUGAUGGAAGGUGAAGUCCAUGGAGUGUAAUUUAGUCUCGAUGACAUGCAUCAUGGUGCGGUCCAUGAAUUAUGGAAAGUUUGGGGGUGAUAGGGUUGGUUCUUGGUGUGCUUGCUGCUCACGUCGCUUUCUAUAGAUUU
This 1550-nucleotide long non-coding RNA is filed under the name Carica papaya (papaya). Its description in RNAcentral is "long non-coding RNA (CPAP_LNC003577)". Lineage: Eukaryota; Viridiplantae; Streptophyta; Magnoliopsida; Brassicales; Caricaceae. The record is from RNAcentral.